This 498-nucleotide ribosomal RNA is filed under the name Petasospora fabianii. Its description in RNAcentral is "eukaryotic LSU rRNA". It matches the Rfam family "Eukaryotic large subunit ribosomal RNA", at positions 151 to 664 of the family's 3401-position model. Lineage: Eukaryota; Fungi; Ascomycota; Saccharomycetes; Phaffomycetales; Wickerhamomycetaceae. The record is from RNAcentral.
UGAAGGUAGUUUUCUGGUGCUGGCCCUUGUCUAUGUUCCUUGGAACAGGACGUCAUAGAGGGUGAGAAUCCCGUCUGAUGGGGUGUCCAGUGCUUUGUAGAUUUCUACCGAAGAGUCGAGUUGUUUGGGAAUGCAGCUCUAAGUGGGUGGUAAAUUCCAUCUAAAGCUAAAUACUGGCGAGAGACCGAUAGCGAACAAGUACAGUGAUGGAAAGAUGAAAAGAACUUUGAAAAGAGAGUGAAAAAGUACGUGAAAUUGUUGAAAGGGAAGGGUAUUGGAUCAGACUUGGUGUCUUGUGAUUAUCUUCCCUUCUUGGGUUGUGCACUCGCAUUUCACUGGGCCAGCAUCGGUUCGGAUGGCAAGAUAAUGGCUUGGGAAUGUGGCACUCUUCGGAGUGUGUUAUAGCCCUUGUUGAUGUUGCCUAUCUGGACCGAGGACUGCGGCUUUUGCCUAGGAUGCUGGCGUAAUGAUUCAAUACCGCCCGUCUUGAAAACACGG